RNAcentral lists this ribosomal RNA (207 nucleotides) under uncultured bacterium. RNAcentral describes it as "partial 16S ribosomal RNA". It matches the Rfam family "Bacterial small subunit ribosomal RNA", at positions 568 to 774 of the family's 1533-position model. The record is from RNAcentral.
CGCGUAGGCGGGGAGGUAAGUCGGGUGUGAAAUCCCUCGGCCCAACCGAGGAACUGCGCCCGAGACUGCUUCUCUUGAGUCCCGGAGAGGAAGGUGGAAUUCCCGGUGUAGCGGUGAAAUGCGUAGAGAUCGGGAGGAACACCGGUGGCGAAGGCGGCCUUCUGGACGGUGACUGACGCUGAGGCGCGAAAGCGUGGGGAGCAAACG